RNAcentral lists this ribosomal RNA (259 nucleotides) under uncultured prokaryote. Its description in RNAcentral is "partial 16S ribosomal RNA". It matches the Rfam family "Bacterial small subunit ribosomal RNA", at positions 524 to 782 of the family's 1533-position model. The record is from RNAcentral.
UACGUAGGUGGCAAGCGUUGUCCGGAUUUAUUGGGCGUAAAGCGAGCGCAGGCGGUUCCUUAAGUCUGAUGUGAAAGCCAACGGCUCAACCGCGGAAGGUCAUUGGAAACUGGGGAACUUGAGUGCAGAAGAGGAGAGUGGAAUUCCAUGUGUAGCGGUGAAAUGCGUAGAUAUAUGGAGGAACACCAGUGGCGAAGGCGACUCUCUGGUCUGUAACUGACGCUGAGGCUCGAAAGCGUGGGGAGCAAACAGGAUUAGA